Molecule: non-coding RNA, 338 nt
Organism: Pelobates cultripes (western spadefoot toad)
Lineage: Eukaryota; Metazoa; Chordata; Amphibia; Anura; Pelobatidae
Source: the annotation of a GenBank genome assembly
GUAGGGGUUAGUCUUGGAGGCCAUAAGCUUUCCUAAAGAGAUGGGUUUUAAGGCACUUCUUAAAAGAUGCAAGACUAGGGGAGAGUCUGAUGGCGGUAGGCAGGCUAUUCCAUAGGAAGUGAGCUGCCCGCGAGAAGUCCUGCAAGUGCGAGUUGGCCGUACGGGUGCGGACAACGGACAGGAGGUGGUCACGGGAAGAGCGGAGAGACCGAGAAGGGACUAACUCACACCAGGGCUUUAUAGGUGUGAGUUAGUGCCUUGAAUUGACUCCUAUAGCACACAGGAAGCCAAUGUAGGGACUGGCAGAGGGGUGAGGUGUGAGAGAACCGACUAGAGAG